AGUCAAUAAGUGUGUAUAUAAAGAAAGUAAGAAGUGGAAAACUUUCUGGAGAGUGCUGACAGAGCUGUUUGAACUACUGGGUGGCACCUCCACCGGUUUUUAAACUUUUUUUCCUGUCUUGAUUGUGAGCGAAAAAAGAGAAACCAAAAAAAAACCCUUCCAAGUUAAGAAAACGUAAGGGAUGACAAAGCGCUUCACUCACUGCUGGUGAAAUGUGCAGUGUGGUUGAAGAAAGCUGCACAGUUGAAGAACUAAUUCAGAGUCAGAUUUCUGGCGCUGUGGCGCUCAAUUUUGGUCUCCCAUGACACCUCUAACUGUUGAUUCAGUGGAGCCUGCUAACCUUCUCUCUCUUGCAGAGAGCACUUCAUAGACUCCAAAUAAACUGCAUUCUUCGCUGUGAUUGUUUAUUCAGCAGUGGGUUUGUUUUUGUACUGCCUUCUCUUCUCCAUUCGGCCUCUCUCAGGAUCAAGUGCUCCUUUCAGAAGCAGCCUGUCAGAGCCGGUUGCUGUGGAGACGUGGGGCCUGUGACCCUGCCUGUCUUGCCGUGUGGAGAGAGAGAGAAGCCUUCAGCAGGAACCUCCCGGCACUUCGCGAUUGAGAAAAUGCUGGAUGAAAAACGUGUGCAAGAGCAGUUCCUAACGAGAGGAGGCCACUUGGCCUCAGUCCCACGAUUACUGGAGGUGCAGGAGCUGAUUGAUCCCAGGGUCUUAUCCAGAAAGCAUUUGAAGGAAGCCAGGCUAUCGGCUUCAACCACGUGGCUGGGUGGGUUGUCAUUAUGGAAGGAACCAGAAUGUAUGCACUGUGAUUGUGGGUGAUAGAGAAGAGAGUGUAUUUCUUCAGUAACUCUCCCGUCUGGCUGAAGGACUGUGAGCUGGUGACAGUCCUGGACAUCUCUGCGAUCUCUGAGAUUUGACUCAGCAACGAAAAGGCAGCCCACAGCACACAGCGGCUUGUGUUGUUCGUGUGGCUCUGGUGGCUAACACGGGCGCAUAAAAGCACUAGAAAGGCACAAAAACAGCAGGACGCACUGCCCACCUAGCCCAUCGGCUAGUUAGUAAGAAGCUAUCUGAUCCUAUGAUCUCAUCCAGGUUGUUUCCUAAAAAAAGCCAGGUCAGCAGCUUCAACAGCACAGCUGGGCAGCUUGUUCCCCUCUCUUCUGCACCUGGACCUGGUGAGGGGGAUUCAUGAGAACCUGAAGUGAUCUUAGUUGAAAAGCCCGUCCAGCAGGAACACUGCAGCCCUGGGGUUCAGCUGCCCUGAAAAUUGAAGAGCUCUGCAGGCACCGCCCACAGACUCCUACAGCCAUGGCCAGGAGCUUUGUUUGCAGCCCACUGUGAUCUGGAUCUCUUUGUUUGAAGCACCCUGUUGUUCUGACAUGAGAAGAACAUGAGAAAGAUGACAACUGAGGGGAGGCCAUUCAGCCCAGCCACCUUGUUUGGUUGCUUGUGUUGGUUUGCUUCUGAAGCCCCACCGAGUCUCCUGGUCUUACGCGGAUCAGUCGCUUAGACAAGAGAAGUCGCCAUGAGUUCCAGAUCUCUGCCAGCGAGCUCUUCAAAGCUGCCCACGAGGCCUGCAGGGCUAUCGCUCUCCAGGACCCGAGCUGCACACCCUGCAGCUGCCUGAGCAGGGCUUUCGCAGAGAGUAAAGAGGAAAACAAGACUCAGGGUCAUCAAAGCCUGAUCCCUCCCAGAGGCACACGCAGGUACCAAGUGUCGUAAUCACCAGCGUAGGGGCGUGACUGGCCGGUCCAGUUGAUUGCGGGACCAGAAUGAAAGAGCGACGCGGAAUUGUGGGACACGGAGUGAGAAAGUGCUGGAGGGCCUGGAGGAGCGUGUGGUGGCCCCGGCCCCUCGCCUGCCGGGCCCCUUUGCUCGUGUGGGCAGCGCUGCGGUGCCAUGAGCUCAUGGCCUCACUGUCAGUGUGUUUACCCAGCGUGAUAAAAUCCCCUUUCUGGGCUUCUUAUGAAUAACACAGCCCGGCCCAAAGUAAGCACCAAUAAAAUCUAACGUCAGUUAAAAUUAUAACCCGUCGGGGCCUGCAGUUUCUGCUGUUUUUAUUUGUGCUAUAAUUGCCAGUCCUGCACACUUGGGGCCAGAUGAUGAAACUAGCGUCUAAUUACAGUGGCUUCUCAGGCAGCCCGUGGCGCGACUCUGAGCCAGGCUGGGGGCUGAAAUCCAGCUCUUUCCUGGUCACAGCGGCUCUAGAGCCGAGCAACUGGGCAGCAGGGCCUGUGUGAGACCCAGAGGUUUUCUAAUACAACCUCACUGCUCUUUCUCCCUUUACACCGGGAUCAGAGAAACUGUAGAAACCCCAGAACAUUGCUUUAAACCUCAAACAGAUCAAUCAAGGGGGCAUAAAAAUGGAUUAAGAAAUGGAU
Molecule: long non-coding RNA, 2377 nt
Filed under: Lepisosteus oculatus (spotted gar)
Lineage: Eukaryota; Metazoa; Chordata; Actinopteri; Semionotiformes; Lepisosteidae
Description: lncRNA (ENSLOCG00000022713.1)
Source: RNAcentral